This 104-nucleotide microRNA precursor is filed under the name Canis lupus familiaris (dog). RNAcentral's name for it is "mir-8834 microRNA precursor family". It matches the Rfam family "mir-8834 microRNA precursor family". Lineage: Eukaryota; Metazoa; Chordata; Mammalia; Carnivora; Canidae. The record is from Rfam by way of RNAcentral. RNAcentral also lists the same sequence under 1 other name.
AGGAGGAACAGCCCCAGUGGCGGGGCAGCUCUGGAAACCUGGAUUCAGCUCCGGCAGGAACUCCGGAGCUCUCUGUCUGCAGGGCCUGGAGGCUCCGGGCGGGG